UAACAACGAACCGCAAGAAGUCAGCAGAGGCCGUAGUACCGUGGAAAAAAAACGGGAAGGGC
RNAcentral lists this non-coding RNA (62 nucleotides) under uncultured Gemmiger sp. The record is from RNAcentral. Lineage: Bacteria; Bacillati; Bacillota; Clostridia; Eubacteriales; Oscillospiraceae.